CUCUGGGCUCGCAUGAAGCUCAGGGCAAAAGAG
This 33-nucleotide non-coding RNA is filed under the name Paenibacillus pasadenensis DSM 19293. Lineage: Bacteria; Bacillati; Bacillota; Bacilli; Caryophanales; Paenibacillaceae. The record is from RNAcentral.